This 301-nucleotide ribosomal RNA is filed under the name uncultured bacterium. RNAcentral's name for it is "partial 16S ribosomal RNA". It matches the Rfam family "Bacterial small subunit ribosomal RNA", at positions 509 to 807 of the family's 1533-position model. The record is from RNAcentral.
CAGUAGCCGCGGUAAUACGAGGGGGGCAAGCGUUGUUCGGAAUUAUUGGGCGUAAAGGGUGCGUAGGCGGUUUGAUAAGUCUUGUGUGAAAUCUAUGGGCUCAACCCAUAGUCUGCACAGGAAACUGUCGGGCUUGAGAGUGGGAGAGGUGAGUGGAAUUUCCGGUGUAGCGGUGAAAUGCGUAGAUAUCGGAAGGAACACCUGUGGCGAAAGCGGCUCACUGGACCAUUUCUGACGCUGAUGCACGAAAGCUAGGGGAGCAAACAGGAUUAGAUACCCCCGUAGUCCCUGUCUCUUAUAC